RNAcentral lists this ribosomal RNA (503 nucleotides) under uncultured bacterium. RNAcentral's name for it is "partial 16S ribosomal RNA". It matches the Rfam family "Bacterial small subunit ribosomal RNA", at positions 29 to 507 of the family's 1533-position model. The record is from RNAcentral.
AACGAACGCUGGCGGCGUGCCUAACACAUGCAAGUCGAACGAGAAAGGGGCUUCGGCUCCGAGUCAAGUGGCGCACGGGUGAGUAACACGUGGGUAACCUGCCUCUAAGAUUGGGAUAACUCGUCGAAAGAUGAGCUAAUACCGAAUAAGACCACAGUUCCCGCGGGAACAGGGGUCAAAGGUAGCCUCUGCUUGCAAGCUAUCACUUAGAGAUGGGCCUGCGCACCAUUAGCUAGUUGGUAGGGUAACGGCCUACCAAGGCAAAGAUGGUUAGCUGGUCUGAGAGGAUGAUCAGCCACACUGGAACUGAGACACGGUCCAGACUCCUACGGGAGGCAGCAGUGGGGAAUAUUGCGCAAUGGGCGAAAGCUUGACGCAGCAACGCCGCGUGAGUGAUGAAGGCCGUCGGGUCGUAAAGCUCUGUCGGGAGGAACGAAUGCUCCUGAGGUUAACAGCCUCGGGAGGUGACGGUACCUUCAAAGGAAGCACCGGCUAACUCUGUG